GAUGUAGAAACUUAUUAAACCCUUAUUCGAAACAAUGGGAAAAAGUAGAAAAAUAAAAAUUAUGUUAGCGGGCUUACGUGAUUAUACUAAGAGAAAACUCGCAUUAUAUGUUAAAAAAAUGUAAAUAUUGUUUAGCAUAACAAACAUAUCGAUUAACUAUAUUUGCAGAAAAUUAGAAAUCCCACCAAAGACGCAUACACAUUUAUGACAGCUCUAAAAUGUUAUAUCGCAAAAAUACAAACACAGUUAUGACAGUUCUAAAAUGUUAUUUUUCAAAAUACACAUACACAUUUAUGACAGUUUUUAAAAUGUUAUGACAUUCUGUAAGGGGGUUUAUGUAACUAUAAUAUGAGAAAACUCGCAUUAUAUGUUAAAAAAGUGUAAAUAUUGUUUAGCAUAACAAAUAUAUUGAAUAACUAUAAUUGCAGAAAAUUAGAAAUCCUUCCAAAGAUACACACACUCACACACACACACACAUUGAUGAUAGUUAUAAAAUGAUAUGAUAUUCUAUACAUUACAAUAUUGAUUAUAAAAAAUGAAAAAUAUAUAUGUUUAUGCGUUCUAUAGCAUAGUGUAAAAUAUAAUUUGAUAUAAACCAUUGAAAUUAAUACUAAAAAAUUCAUAUGAUACUAUGAAUAUAUGAAAGUAUUAAAAAAAAAAAAAAGAAAAAAAAAAAAAAAAAAAAAAAAAAAAAAAGCAUUUAUGAGAAUUAUAGUACAAAAUGUAUAUAUAUAUAUAUAUAUAUAUACACAUAAUUUUUUUUAUUGUUUUAAAGAGAUAUAUGAGAAAAUAACAUAAUUCCAAGAUAUCUGAUAUAAAAAUUUAUUUCUUUUGUUUCUUUCUGAUUGUUAAAAUAACGAAAAAUAACAAAGAUACAGUUUAUUUAUUUUUAUAUAUAAAAAAAUAAAAUAAAAUAAAAGCAAUAUAAACA
This 931-nucleotide long non-coding RNA is filed under the name Piliocolobus tephrosceles (Ugandan red Colobus). RNAcentral's name for it is "lncRNA (ENSPTEG00000000617.1)". The record is from RNAcentral. Lineage: Eukaryota; Metazoa; Chordata; Mammalia; Primates; Cercopithecidae.